AAUAGGGCGGCACCUUGACGGUACCUGACCAGAAAGCCCCGGCUAACUACGUGCCAGCAGCCGCGGUAAUACGUAGGGGGCAAGCGUUGUCCGGAAUUAUUGGGCGUAAAGCGCGCGCAGGCGGUCCUUUAAGUCUGAUGUGAAAGCCCACGGCUUAACCGUGGAGGGCCAUUGGAAACUGGAGGACUUGAGUACAGAAGAGGAGAGUGGAAUUCCACGUGUAGCGGUGAAAUGCGUAGAGAUGUGGAGGAACACCAGUGGCGAAGGCGACUCUCUGGUCUGUAACUGACGCUGAGGUGCGAAAGCGUGGGGAGCGAACAGGAUUAGAUACCCUGGUAGUCCACGCCGUAAACGAUGAGUGCUAGGUGU
RNAcentral lists this ribosomal RNA (369 nucleotides) under Virgibacillus marismortui. Its description in RNAcentral is "bacterial SSU rRNA". It matches the Rfam family "Bacterial small subunit ribosomal RNA", at positions 449 to 823 of the family's 1533-position model. The record is from RNAcentral. Lineage: Bacteria; Bacillati; Bacillota; Bacilli; Caryophanales; Bacillaceae.